GAAACAUUUGAAGUGACUUAGUGGCGGACGGGUGAGUAACGCGUGGGUAACCUGCCCUGUACUGGGGGACAACAGUUGGAAACGGCUGCUAAUACCGCAUAAGCGCACAGCAUCGCAUGGUGCAGUGUGAAAAACUCCGGUGGUACAGGAUGGACCCGCGUCUGAUUAGCUAGUUGGUGGGGUAACGGCCUACCAAGGCAACGAUCAGUAGCCGGCCUGAGAGGGUGAACGGCCACAUUGGGACUGAGACACGGCCCAGACUCCUACGGGAGGCAGCAGUGGGGAAUAUUGCACAAUGGGCGCAAGCCUGAUGCAGCGACGCCGCGUGAGUGAUGAAGUAUUUCGGUAUGUAAAGCUCUAUCAGCAGGGAAGAAAAUGACGGUACCUGACUAAGAAGCACCGGCUAAAUACGUGCCAGCAGCCGCGGUAAUACGUAUGGUGCAAGCGUUAUCCGGAUUUACUGGGUGUAAAGGGAGCGUAGGCGGCAUGGCAAGUCAGAUGUGAAAGCCCGGGGCCCAACCCCGGAACUGCAUUUGAAACUGUCAGGCUAGAGUACCGGAGAGGUAAGCGGAAUUCCUAGUGUAGCGGUGAAAUGCGUAGAU
RNAcentral lists this ribosomal RNA (602 nucleotides) under uncultured bacterium. RNAcentral describes it as "bacterial SSU rRNA". It matches the Rfam family "Bacterial small subunit ribosomal RNA", at positions 70 to 695 of the family's 1533-position model. The record is from RNAcentral.